AACCUCCCUUCGGGGAGGGGAAAGUGGCGCACGGGUGAGUAACACGUGGGUAAUUUACCUUUGGGUGGGGAACAACAGCCGGAAACGGCUGCUAAUACCGCAUAAUGCAGCGGCUCGACAUCGAGACAGUUGUUAAAGCGGGGGAUCGCAAGACCUCGCGCCUAAAGAGAAGCCCGCGGCAGAUUAGCUAGUUGGUAGGGUAAUGGCCUACCAAGGCGACGAUCUGUAACCGGCCUGAGAGGGCGGUCGGUCACACUGACACUGACAUACGGGUCAGACUCCUACGGGAGGCAGCAGUCGGGAAUUUUGGGCAAUGGGCGAAAGCCUGACCCAGCAACGCCGCGUGAAGGAUGAAGCUUUUCGGAGUGUAAACUUCACAAGAAUGGGAAGAAUAAGUGUGGGAUAAUACCCCUCACGAUGACGGUACCAUUUGUAAGCUCCGGCUAACUCCGUGCCAGCAGCCGCGGUAAUACGGGGGGAGCAAGCGUUGUUCGGAUUUACUGGGCGUAAAGGGCGCGUAGGCGGCGCGACAAGUCACUUGUGAAAUCUCUGGGCUCAACCCAGAACGGUCAAGUGAUACUGUCGUGCUAGAGUGCGGAAGGGGCAACUGGAAUUCUUGGUGUAGCGGUGAAAUGCGUAGAUAUCAAGAGGAACACCUGCGGCGAAGGCGGGUUGCUGGGCCGACACUGACGCUGAGGCGCGAAAGCUAGGGGAGCGAACGGGAUUAGAUACCCCGGUAGUCCUAGCCUAAACGAUGAAUGCUUGGUGUCCGGGGUUAGAUAG
This 783-nucleotide ribosomal RNA is filed under the name uncultured bacterium. RNAcentral describes it as "bacterial SSU rRNA". It matches the Rfam family "Bacterial small subunit ribosomal RNA", at positions 71 to 836 of the family's 1533-position model. The record is from RNAcentral.